Molecule: long non-coding RNA, 328 nt
Filed under: Carica papaya (papaya)
Lineage: Eukaryota; Viridiplantae; Streptophyta; Magnoliopsida; Brassicales; Caricaceae
Description: long non-coding RNA (CPAP_LNC010362)
Source: RNAcentral
CACAUAUAGCCUCACUUGGUGUGUGGUUUUGCCAUAUGACCUUUACAAAGGGUAUUUCUCGGUUGCGGAGUAAACUGCUCUUCGAUCCGCAAUGCCGACUGGUACUUCCUCGUAUGAUAAAUCCUCCUGGAGUGGAAGAGGUUUGUGGGCCAAGACAUGAGAGGGGUCCGAGCUGUACUUGCGUAGCAUAGACACAUGAAAUACAUUGUUGACUUUAGAAAGUUUCGGAGGCAGUGCUAGUCUGUAGGUGGCGUUACCAAUCUUGUCUAAGACUUCAAAUGGUCUAAUAAAUCGGGGGUUCAGUUUCCCCCUCCUACCGAACCUACUG